Molecule: long non-coding RNA, 2364 nt
Filed under: Triticum aestivum (bread wheat)
Lineage: Eukaryota; Viridiplantae; Streptophyta; Magnoliopsida; Poales; Poaceae
Description: long non-coding RNA (TAES_LNC026455)
Source: RNAcentral
GAGGGUCACGGCCGAUGCGCGUCACGAUCCAACCACACAACGAGCCAAAGGAUGCGCCAUGGAUUCACUGUCCGGUUUGUCAGUCUGGGUUCAUAAGGUGUUUGUUCUUCUCCAAUGCGUUUUGUUGAUGCCUCAUGUGAUUCAACAUGUAUUUUUUUUUGUUCCUAUUGAUUACAGAGUAUAGUAAUGCAUCUUCAGUUAUCAAGGGUGUGGCAUAUCUUGGCAGAUUAGUGGGGAGUGAGGUAUAUCCUCCUUUUCUAUUUAAUUUUUGCAUCUUUAUGUAAUUAUGUUGUUCCUGGAAACUUUUCUAUUUAAUUUUUUGCAUCUUUAUGUAAUUAUGUUGUUCCUGGAAACAUUUAUUUGGGACAGCUGCAUCAUAGAAAAGUUACAUGUUGGUUAGUUCCGGAUGUGCCAUGAAUUAUAUUGUCCUUGAACCUUCUUAAUUCAGCUGUUUCCGCACUUGAUUUUGUUAGUUUUGCAGCUGUAAAGUGCGUGUAGGUUUUUUAAGCAGCGACGAUCUGGGUAUUAUAAUGAUUUGAUUGGAUUUGGUAGGUGUGCGUGUGUGGUGUACAGUCCAGUCGCGGAUUAGAGCCUGUUGAAUUCAGUUGCUCCAGUGCUUGCUGUUACACUCGACUUCCUAUUGUUAGUUAUUACCCACUUGAUGGGGAUCACUGAGCUGCGGGUUGGAACUGAAUCAGUUCAUGUCCUGAGCCUUUUAUAGCUUAGUUCUUGGUGUCCCUGGAGCGAUGGUGGCGGGGAAUCCCACUGGUUUCUGGUUGUGGAUGUUCCCUUAUUUUUUCUAUUGCGAUUUGUCAAGUAUCCUACUUAUUAUCAUCCGCCUUAUGGCUAGAAUGCUUGCAGCCAUUUGGUGGUUACAGUUGUCAGCCUUCUUUUACUCGGCUUGUCGCUCACAACUGGCAGAUUUAUAUAUUGUUGGUGAUACAAAUAUUUAGCACCUAAUUACACAUUUUUUGUGGCAGGACAUAUUGAUGGACAAUUCUUAUGAUGGUAUAGCUGUAUAUGAAGUUCCAUAUACAUGGAUCCCCACUCAUCUGGUAAGAUUCCAAGUCAGACUAAUGUGGAAGCAAUUUCUAUUAAAAAAAUCUUGACCGCCAGACUAUUAUCCAAGCAUCUUUUGACACGAGGUUGAGUCUUAAAUGUUGGACACUUGAUAAUUUGUCCAGGUUGAGAUUCACCACUGAUGACACGAGUCUGCUACCCUGCUCCUGUGAAGGUAGCCGAAGGCCUGCAGCUCCCACCGUGAUAUCCUCUCUCGGCUUUCGCCUCUUCAUGUGAGCUCAUCCUCCCAAUUUGUUCUUACCACAGUUUGGGUUGUUUGAUUCAGGUUUUUUUCUAAAAUUAAAUUAUGUCUCAAGGACUGAGAUGUAAAUGUUGUUCAGGCCCUAUGAGAAGGUGAACCACUCUAUCAAAGGCGAUGAACUCAUCCAAUUUGUACCUCCAAAAAACUUACUUCCUAUGUGUUCUUGGGAUCAAGUAAUCUGAUGUUCGUUUACUAAAUUCUGGUAUGUUUUCCUGUCAGCCAACAAGAAUCGUUUCCAUUUUUCUGCACUGUAUUGGGAACAGUUUUAUCAUCCGAGGAUACAUCCAAAGUACAAGUUGUGCUAUUCGUUAUCUUCUCUUUUUAUUCUGGAUGCACCUUUCUGAUAUUCUUUUUUAUUCCUAUUUGUUGCAUACCUUAUUUAUUAGAAGGUCUAAUUGCAAGUAUUUUCAAGGUCUAAUUGUUACGCAAGAUUUUCUUUGCAGUGUGCAUGAAUUUCAUAGAAUAGUUUUAUUCCAAGUACAGAAGAAAUUGAAUCUGUCUUGCAUGACCUAUGUUUUUAUCUAUGAAUGACCUUAGUUGAAUAUGUGUUGAAUUGUUCAAAUUUGUUGUCCUUUUGUAUCUUCCAGUCUUGUCAUACAUUGUAUCCUCCUUUUUCAUGACCCAAAAAUAGCUGAGAAAGCAUGACAUGCCAUAAUUUGUUUUCCAUCCUAGGCUCAUUUCCAGGCCUGCUAUUAUUCUAUUUGUCCUUAUUAAACAGUAUCCUUUUUGAGUGCUCUCCUCUCCUUAAUCAACUACCUGUUGAGGAUGUUUAAAAAAGACACCGCCAAUAGCAGAUCACUCUAUUACUGCAAUUGCAUGCAGGUACAAAAUCAAUGCUACCUUUGGGGUCUCCUCCUAUAGCCUUUCCUGUAAUCAUAAGAGCUACGAAGAGACGCGGUUGGCUUUAGUUUUGUAUGAUUUGAUGUAUUUAUAUUUAUCCAAUGAAAAAGCACUUUGCUUGCUUUUGUAGCUAAGAAAACUCUCUGUUCGUCCAUAUAUUGUUUAAAUGAAGCACUAAAAACUGUUUGAGAUAGCAAUCAUCG